GAUGAACGCUGGCUACAGGCUUAACACAUGCAAGUCGAGGGGAAACGACGGGGAAGCUUGCUUCCCCGGGCGUCGACCGGCGCACGGGUGAGUAACGCGUAUCCAACCUGCCUCUGACUGAGGGAUAACCCGUCGAAAGUCGGCCUAAUACCUCAUGGCAUCGUCUGCGGGCAUCCAACGACGAUUAAAGAUUUCAUCGGUCAGGGAUGGGGAUGCGUCUGAUUAGCUAGUUGGCGGGGUAACGGCCCACCAAGGCGACGAUCAGUAGGGGUUCUGAGAGGAAGGUCCCCCACAUUGGAACUGAGACACGGUCCAAACUCCUACGGGAGGCAGCAGUGAGGAAUAUUGGUCAAUGGGCGAGAGCCUGAACCAGCCAAGUAGCGUGCAGGAUGACGGCCCUAUGGGUUGUAAACUGCUUUUAGGCGGGGAUAAAGUGAGGGACGUGUCCUUCAUUGCAGGUACCGCAUGAAUAAGGACCGGCUAAUUCCGUG
RNAcentral lists this ribosomal RNA (491 nucleotides) under uncultured bacterium. Its description in RNAcentral is "partial 16S ribosomal RNA". It matches the Rfam family "Bacterial small subunit ribosomal RNA", at positions 28 to 507 of the family's 1533-position model. The record is from RNAcentral.